This is a long non-coding RNA of Homo sapiens (human), 872 nucleotides long. RefSeq annotates it as long independently transcribed non-coding RNA 1705. The transcript has 3 exons. The record is from RefSeq and is a predicted model, not a curated record. NCBI's taxonomy places the organism in Eukaryota, Metazoa, Chordata, Mammalia, Primates, Hominidae.
CUCAGCUGUUCAGAGGAUUUCUGCUGGGCCUUGUCACUCUCCUUGACCUCAGCUCACAGUAAGCUGCCUUCUAAGGAGCUUGCUUCAAUGCAGGGGCACUGCUAGUUUUGUCAGGUCAGGUGUUAACACCUGGGAAAGGUCAGGCUACCAUGAGGCUUUGUGUUUUAGUCCGAGGGAUCUUACCACAUGGUGGAAUGCCGUGGGUGUUGGCUUAGGCGUGACCGACUCUUCCCUCUGGCCCCAGGCAGAAGGCCACAUGCUUGGAGCAGAGCAGAGGACAUUUCCCACUUCUACACUCCACAUGGUUUUGGCCUUGCCGGAAGAGGUCACAAAGUGGCUUUGGAAUUCACUCACACAACAUGAGGGUACUUUGCACAGGUAGAGAAUGGUUGAAAUACACACUACCUGAAGCUGGAUAACUCAUGAACUCUGUUGACAAUUAUAUUCUUUGUCUUUUUAAUUAACUCAUUUGGAGUUGGUGUCCUGAGGACCUAAGCCUAAGAAUCUUCAAGAUGGAAGAGUAGAGUGAACAAUGAAUGAGCCAGAGGGCUCUUGUCCUCUGUGUGCAGCUCUGGGCAGCCAGCAGGUGGAUAUGGGACUUGGCCUGCUGGAGGGGCCCUGGCAAGAGGAGCUGGCAGGAGCAGAUGGCAAAGGAUAAAGCGCUCCCUUGUUGGUGUCCCCACAGUCCAGGCUGGUGCUGAUGCCGUCCUGCCGUCCUGCAUCAGAGCCACUCAUGCCCGUGUGCGCACUCUUUGUCGGGGUCUGACACCGUUGCAUCGUAUAUCACCUGUGUUGUCAUGGUCAGUGCUCAACAAAUGCCCCUACUGAUUCAAGUAUAUGAGCAAGUCAAAUAAAAAAAUAAUAUGGCCGGG